This 10121-nucleotide long non-coding RNA is filed under the name Capsicum annuum. RNAcentral describes it as "long non-coding RNA (CANN_LNC018279)". The record is from RNAcentral. Lineage: Eukaryota; Viridiplantae; Streptophyta; Magnoliopsida; Solanales; Solanaceae.
CAAUACAAAGCAUAUUGAGUAGUCUUCUUCCAAAGUUCUCUCUUUUAAUAUUUUCCUUCACCUUUCUAGCUUCCUCUUCUUAGUUGAAUCUUUCGAUUUUAUUAACGAUCUUGGGCUAGCAGAAGGUUUCCUAAAUAUACCUUUCUUCUGCUAUUCUCUACACUUGAAAAAUAUAUUAAGUUAAUAAAGCUUAAUUAGAUUAAUACAAAUGUAGAUGCAGACAUCUGAAAUUUGAAAAAUAAGAUUGUGAGCGUCAAACACUUAUCAAUAAGAAAAAUAUACUUCGGAGAGAGUAUCGAUUAGUUGUUUAGCUCAGCUUGAAUACCUGUAAGUUCCUGAAAUCAAAUUUUGCUCCAUUGGUAAAUUUUCUAGAAGCGGUUAUUUCGUCUUCUGUAGUUGCUUUGCGUUCUCUGCUUCUUUCUCCUUGCCAUCAUAAUUUUGUGCCCCAGCUCUUCAACGGUUCUUUCAAGCCAUUUCAUAUUUCCAGUUGAGAUCAAGAUAUAUAUUAUGGAUAGUCCGGUUCCAUACCCCAUAAGAGCGGCUUUCCAAAAAUCAUUCAGAAAUUCAGAGUUGCUUUCUUCAUCAAGCGCAGAUCCAGUAUAAGUUUCCUCUGAUGCUGAAUCAUGACCGUCGUUACCACAACCUUUUGAAAGUGGGAAUCCACAUAAUCUAUCAUUACCUUCAUAUGAAUUGUUCUCAAAGGUAUGAAAUUGAUUUCCUUGAGGAAUGCACCCUUCGAGAUGAAUUGUUCUCAAGUCAUAUUGUGAUGCAGACAUGUUUGGUUCUCAUUUCUUAGCUCUAAAGUAGUGGACCAAUAAAUUUCUAGACUAUAUUGAAAUCUCUAAUAGACUCCAUAGCACUUGAUUAACAUGAGUUUAGAUGACCGCAAUGUGAAACGUGAGAAUUCAUAAUACUAAUGUCGAGAGUUAAUUGUUCACAUCGCCAAUCAACUUUUGAUAAUUAUCUCAGAAAGCCACAAUUCUUUGUUUUAUAAUAGAACAGCCGCUCAUUAUGGUUGUUGAAACCGUCAUCAUAUUUGGAGUUUGUUAUUUUAGUUAUGUAAAUAAAACUAUCAUACACUAAAUAAUUAAUGGUGUGCAAAAACCGAACCGAAUCGAUAAAAAUGCUAUUGGGUUAACAAUUUUUUAUUGGUUUUAUAAAAAAAUUAUUGGGUAAAUGGUUCAGCUAUCGAUAAUCCAAUAAGGAUACACUACUGUUUUACCCUUAUUUGUGUUAUAUAUUUAUAUAUUGUAUACACUACUUAUUCACAAUUCAGAGAUUCACAAAGUAUUAACCUAUUCAGGACAACAAAGGCAUAAUACAAAGCACGGGUAUUAUCGUAUUGGAAAGCUUGAAGCAUUUAGUAGCUUCCAACAAUUAGAAUUUAGUUUUUUACGAACUAUAACAUUCUGUUCAAGUUUGAAGAUUUUUGUAAACUAAAACGCAUUGCGUAUGAUUUUGGCAGGAACUAAGAUUUCGUUUUUUUUAUGUUAGUUGUUACUAUUUCUAUGUUAUGAGUAUUUUCUUAUUGGUUAAAUCGAAAAUCGAACCGUUAAGGACCGAAAAUUGAUAAACCGAAAAUUGAUAAGAAAAUACCUUAUUGGUUUUGCGUAUUUAAAAGGGAAAAGACUCAAAUAUGUCAUUGAAAAUAGGGAAAAGACUCAAAUAUGCCACUGAACUAUCAGAAAUGACUCAUUUAUGUCAUCCGUUAAAAGUUGGGCUCAUUCAUGCCAUUGCCGUUACAAAACCGGCCCAUCGAUGCCAUUACUUUUUAACAGAUGAUUUUUAAAAACAUUCUUGCCACGUGGCAGCUUAUUAGAGGGCCACGUCAUUUUUUAUUUUUUAUUUUUUAUUUUUAAAAAAAAAUAAAAAAUAAUAUUUUUUUUGAUCCACUAAAAAGAAUUCACGCAACUUUUUGAUCCAUUGAAAAUUAGUUUGAUCUAUGCUUUUAAAAUUUGAUUAAUUUUUCAUGAAUAUAUUCUUAAAACAUUCUCGUUCGAUUCGUAAACAUCAUUUAAUAAAUAUAUUAUAAUAAAAUAGUUAUUUUAAUUGACGGACGAGUAACUAAAAGGGAACGGAGAGAGUAUACACUCCACGCUUUUUAUCACUUUUUCUUUUUUAAAGAUUCACGUUAACUAAAACUUUUAUCAUUUUUCAAUUGAAACUGAAGGGAUAUAUAAAAAUCAAAUAUUAUUAUUAUAUUAUUAAUAGUUAGCUUCUCAUUUUGCCAACUCUACAUAUACUAUAUAUGUUGACAUGUUGUCGCCUUCCUAUUUUUGCAAUAAUAAAUGAUGAUGUAUAAAGUGCUACGUACAAAUGUUGAAUGCCGAUUAGGGGCGGCUUAACCCUUUAGGAGAAAAGGCGGCCGCCUAAGACCCCAAAAUUUGAGGGGCUAUUUUUGUUUAAUAAUAAUAAAUUACAAAUUUUAAGAAAUAUAUUAAAUACUAUUUAUAGAAAAAAGAACAAUUUUAUAUAAAAAAAUAAAAUGCAAGGCCUCCGUUUGAUUUUUGCCUUAGGCCAUAAAUUUGCUUGAGCCGAUGCUGAUGAUGUCAUUCUAUGCUUAAUAAAAAAAUAAAAAAAUGAAAAGUUACUUACAUUCGACCGACAAAAUAUUUCAUGUAUGCUAAGACAUACUAUAUGCUUAAUUAGAAUAGCGUUUGGUUAUAAAUUUUAAUAGUAGAUUUAAAAAAAAAAAAAUCUUUAAAUAUUUGUUUGAUCAUGAAAAAUUAAUCAAAUUUUAAAAGCAUAGAUAAAAUUAAUUUUAAUGGAUCAAAAAAUUGGGUGGAUUCUUUUUAAUGGAUCAAAAAAAAAUUAAAAAGAAAAUUAAUUUUUUUAAAAAAAAAAAAUGACGUGACCCUCUAAUAAGCUGCCACGUGGCAAGGCUGUUUUUAAAAACCGGCUGUUAAAAAGUAAUGGCAUGGAUGAGCCAGUUUUGUAACGGCGAUAGCAUAAAUGAGCCUAAUUUUUAACGGAUGGCAUAAAUGAGUCAUUUCUGAUAGUUCAUGGCAUAGUUGAGCCUUUUCCCUUGAAAAUAACUCAUUUAUGUCAUCAGUUAAAAGUUUGUCUCAUUCAUGCCAUCGCUGUUACAAAACUGAUUGGAAGGUGUGGAUAACAGUAAUAGCAAGCACUGGACUGUGGUAGCGACGAUGGAAUAGAGUUCAGUAUAACUGAUUGGGAUGGACUCGUAAAUUAUUUUUCUUUCUCAGAUCACAAGCCGUAGCAAUAUUCCUUAUGCCAGGUCAAUAAGGAAGGGGUCUGUAACUGAUCUCUUCGUCUCAAAUGCGAUAACCGAUAUGUAUGCAAACUGUGGUUGUCUAUGUUAAGUAUCGCACAUCGUAAAAGGGAUGGGUAAUUGGUCUCCUUAUAUGGUCUUGGGCAAUCCUCCCCCAUGAGCUAGCUUUUGAGGUUGAGUUAGGCUCGAAAUCCAUUCUUUAUUGUCUAAAUCUGGCACAAAAUGUGUUUGACAUGUCUCUUAGAGAUGAGGUAUCGUAUAUAAUAUACUCAUUGUUGGUUAUUCGCAGACAAGUCAUUGCUCAAAGUCUCUUCAACUGUUCUCUGAAAUGGUGCUGAAUGGGAUGAAGCACGAUACCGUUUCCUUUGUUGGAGUUCUCUCGGCUUGUGCGACUAUUUCGGCGAUUAAACAAGGAAAGGAAAUCCAUGCAUUUGCGGUGAGAAGAUUGUUUCAUGAACAUCUCUUUGUCUCAAAUUCUCUCUUGGAUUUGAAUACAAAAUGUGAACGGAUUGAUCUUUCUCGAAAGGUUUUUGAUAGUAUUGAGAACAGGGAUGUAGCAUCGUGGAAUACGAUGAUUUUCGGGUAUGGGAUGCUCGGUGAUUUACAUACUGUGAUUGAUAUGUUUGAAGCCAUGCGAGAGGAUGGUGUUGAACAUGAUUCGGUCUCAUAUAUUGCUGUGCUAUCAGCAUGUAGUCAUGGGGGAUUAGUUGAUAAGGGAAAGAAAUACUUUAAUGACAUGCUCGCUCGUAACAUUGAACCAUCACAGAUGCACUACGCUUGCAUGGUUGAUCUUCGUGGUCGUUCUGGGCUUAUGGAUGAGGCCACUAAUCUUAUUACUGGUCUACCAUUUAAACCAGAUUCCAAUGUUUGGGCUGCACUACUUGGAGCAUGCCGACUCCAUGGAAAUGUAGACUUGGGUUCUUGGGCAGCCGUAUCAUCCUGGGUACUAUGCUCUUCUCUCAAAUAUGUACGCUGAAGCAGGCCGGUGAGGUGAAGCUGAUAGGAUCAGAGAGUUGAUGAAGAAAAACCCUGGAUGUAGUUGGGUUCAAACUCAAGACAAGGUGCAUGCUUUUAUUGUUGGACAAAGACUCCAAGGAUUGACUUCAUGUUUGUCGCUUGAGAACACUGGUUGAAGUGUGUUGUUUCAUUGCCUUUUCUUUUGGUUGGGAAAGACUUUGGAUUAGUUAUCCCACCAUAUAUAUAGGAUAACUUAUUCCAUCACUGUGGUGUAAAUGGUGGGAUAAAUAAUCCCAGUACCAACUAAUACCUCACACGAAACGACCCCUUAGAGUAUGAUUACGCCCGAUGGCCCGGACUUUUUGUGUGAGAUGUGGUACACCUGAUUGACCUCCAAUUUAGGAGGUCUGUAAUGAACCAAUGUCCCACAUUAGAAAAAAAGAGAAAUGCUAAGGGGGUUAUAAGUCAAAUGGGUUCUCUCACUUAUUAGACUACUCUUUUGGGUUGAGCUCUCCCGUUUGGUUUAUAACAUUAGUGCUUUCUGGUGGCCUGGACCCAAGAGGGGUGCCAACCGUGACACCGUGACUCGUAGGGGUGGCCCAAGAGGGGUGCCAACCGUGACCAACGAGGAUCGAUCCACGCGUGGAGCCAUGACUCGGAGUGGUGCCCUGGACCUAAGAGGGGUGCCGUGACCAAAGGGGUCGUUGGUUCUCAAGCGGAGGCGAUUGUUAUGAAUCAAUUGUCCCACAUUGGAAAAAUAGAGAAAUGCUUAAGGGGAUUAUAAGCCAAAUGGAUUCUCCCACCUAUUAGACUAGUCUUUUGGGUUGGUUCUCCCGUUUGGUUUAUAACAAGGUCCAACCAAAUAUAAUUCAACAUGAAGCGAUGUGGAACAAUUUAUGAUUCCUUGUGAAGACUCAUGCGUUGCAUUAUUGGCAACGUAUGGGUCGGGGAAGCUGGCACUGGCCCUCAAACAUGAUGGCCAAGUGCAAGCUUUAUCCAGGACAAUAACUGAAAGGAAAAGACCAAGAGCGCUGGUGAUCGAUCUGAUUUGCUUAUGAGUUCAACUAAGCUCUAAACUGAGAUGCAGUAUCCAUGGCUGGUGAAUAGACUAUCUGUCCUUGAGCUGAUUGCAAGAGCUUAUACUUGACAUGCUUCUGGCCUGCACCAUGAAAAUCGCAAGCUGUUGGUUUUUUUAAAACAAGAUGGGGCAGCGAAAAGAGGUUAAAAUGGCUCUCAAUUAUUUUUCUUAAGCAUAAGAGAGCUUACAAAGAAAAUCCACAAAGUACAUACAUAACCAAAAGAAAAAGAAAAAAGAAGACAUUGUCUUAGAACUUAUAGAGCACAGAAGGCAAGCGCGGUGUAAUAAACACUUCUAUAGGAUUGACUUUGCGCAUGGUCAUGCCUAGCCCUUCUUUCAUAUCCAAAGGCUCAUCCGACGGUGUACUAAAAUCAAAACCUUGGAGUAAAUGAGCUAUUGCAAGGUGUGUCACUUGAGUUGCAUAGGUGAUCCCUGGACAAGAUCGUCUUCCAGAGCCAAACGGGAUGAAUUCAUAUUGUUGACCGCGAACAUCAACCCCUGCUUGACUAGUCAAGAAUCUCUCUGGAUCAAAUGUAUCAGGAUUCGACCAAAUCUUAGGAUCUCGAUGUAGUUUCAUAGUAUUGACCCACAAUCUUGUACCUUUAGGAAUGUGGUAUCCUUGUACGACACAGUCCUCUACUGAUUCGUGUGGUACUAACAACGGUGCUGGUGGAUAUAAUCGCAGUGUUUCUUUAACGACAGCUUGGAAGUAUACCAAAUCCUUGAUAUCGCUCUCUUCUACCCAUCUGUUUCUGCCAACGCUCGUGUCUAGCUCCUCUUGGACUUUCUUCAGGGCAUCUCUGUGGUUUAACAAUGUCGCCAUUACCCAAUUUAAGUGAAUCGCAGUCGUGUCUGAAGCAUCCAACACCAUACUCUGUGUUAAGAAGAACCAUUUAAGAGAAACAAGAUUUGAAAAACAAACAAAAGAACAACCUUUUAACCAACAUUGUGUUGCCAUCAUGCUAAAUGUCAAAAACAACUUUUCUACCUCUGACGUAGAGGUAACGUCUGCAUACACUCUACCCUCCCCAUACACUAGUAUGUUACUAUUGUUGCCAUCAUGCUAAAUGGUUGCACAAUUCAAUUCAAAACCCAAAGUCUCUCCAUAUCAAACUUGAUAUAAAGAGUUAAGUGUCGCUGUACCUAUAUAUGAUAAGCAAUUCUGGAGGAGCACGUGACCAACACUCGAUGCCUUAACUGUGCAUCGAGCAAACCAACUGAAUGUCUACCCAUGAUCUAUGUUGCUUGAACUCUCCAAAACAUUACUGUACUAGUAUUGAACCCUUCAAAAGGUAGUGGAUGAGCUCUGCGUACUACCUCCCCAGACACUACUUGUGGAUUUCGCUAAUCCUCCAAAAAAUGCACAACUUUUGAAGGAUUGGAUACACACCCGGCAACAUUUUGAAGAGUCCGAACAACAUAGAUCAUGAUCAUAAACACAUAUGCACAAGCAUCUCAUAAACAUUCAUAACCUUCACCUAUGUUGCUCAGACUCUUCAAACAUGUCAUCGGGGGUUGUGUCGGAUCCUUCAAAAGUAGUGCAUUUUUUAAUGAUACUACCCUGGUAAGACAACGUUUUUGGAGAGUCCGGACAAGAAAAACAAUAUAAAUAUAGCAGCAAAAGACAUUAUUACUCACCAGAGCAGUAGCUUUAAUGGUGGUUUCUCUGCUAUAACCAUCAAUAAAAUCUUCAAUUUUCAUCAUAGAAAGCAUAACAUCAAUAAAAUCCUCUUCAUUUCCAUCAACAAAAUCAACCCUUUCUCUCUUCUUCACAUGUUCAUCCAACCAACUUUGUAAAACACAAUCAAUAUCUUUAAAUGUCCUUUUCAUAAACUUAACAUGUCCUUGAAAAUCAAUCCACUUAAACAAAGGUAUUGGAAAUGCAUCCCAUAACACAAACUCCAUUGAUAUAUACAUAAAAUCCUUCAAAGCUUUCUUAAAUCUCUCAGCUUCUUCUUCUUCUUCUUCAUUUCCACCUUUUUCAACCCUUCCAUAGCUUUUUCCAGCUAUCAUUUUCACUAUCAAGCUCAGUGUUAACUUCUCUAUCCAAUUAGUAAUAUUCACUUUCACCCGAAAAUCACCUCUGGUCAUUGGAAAAUCAAGAUUAGCUCCAGAAACUGCGCAGUCUGAUGCACUAAAACACUCGCUAUGUGUGGGGUCCAUAGAAGGGUCAGAUGACAAGGCACUAUUGUACAAAACUUUACUUUGCAUUUCUACCAUAGGCUGUUUCCAUGACUUGAUAACAUUAUCUCCGGUAGCACUGUGUGUGGGGUCCAGGAAAGGGCCAGACAAGAAGACUUUAUUGUACGAAUCCUUACCUUGCAUUUCUGUUUGAGGUUGUUUCUUCGGCUUGAUAACAUCAUCUCCAUCCACCGGAAAACUAACAUCAUCUCUGGUCACUGGAAAAUGAUCACUGGUGAUCAGAAAAUCAAGAUUUUCUUCGGAGACAGGUGAUUGAUCUCCAGUGACCGGAAAACUAACAUCAUCUCCGGUCACCGGAAAAUGAUCACUGUAGAUCGGAAAAUCAAGAUUUUCUCCGGAGACCGGUGAUUGAUCUCUAGUGAACGGAAAAUUAGCAUCAUCUCCAUUCACCUUUAAACUUACAUCAUCUCCACCCACCGGAAAAUCAUCUCCGGUGACCGGAGAAUGAUCACCGGUUACCGGAAAAUCAAGAUUUUCUCUGAUGAUCGGAAACAAAAUAUAAAGCUCUUUAAUACUAGUUUUCACUUCAGAAACCCUCACAUCUCUCAGUUUCUCCAACCUACUACUAGACAAAACUUCCUUAAUAACAACUUUCCUAAUCUUUCUCCAGUAAUCACCAUAACUAGCAAGAAAAAGCAUUGCAUUAUUAUACCCAAUAUACUCUCCAGCUAAACUCUCUGGCCGGGCAGCAAACACUUUAUCAUUGAUAUUCAAACAAUCCUUCACAGCAUCAUAACUACUUACCACUAAUAUACGCGGUAUACCUAGCCGGAAAGUGAAAAUGGGGCCAUAUUUAUCUGCCAAAGAAGAUAGUUUUCGAUGCAAUGGAAUGCUGUCGGUGCCGGAGAAUUGGAGAAGAUGACCGAUGACCGGUAAGCCACCGGAGAUUUCUGGCGGGAAAUUAUGUGAAAGUUUAUGUGAUCUUUGUGUUAGUUUAUAUAUGACAAUGGAGGUAAAGGUAAUGGUUAUGAGUAGUAAAAUUGCAUUAAAAUGAGAAAAUAUAUGAUCUUCCAUUUUUGUUAUAAAGAAAUAUCUUAAGUUUUUUGAUGUGUUUAUGUAGUGCUAGAAAAGGAUUUACUAGUAUUAGUUUUGGUAUAUGUCAUUUUCAUUUUGAAAGUUUUUUUAUUUCAAUUUCUUAAAAUGAUGAUGGCGAUGUUUGAAUUGGUAACUUAAUUAAUUACUUCAUGGAGGAUUUAAACUUGAAAACUCAACUUAAAUUUUGAACUCAUAUAUACACUGAAACCAAUCUCGUAUUUAGGAGAUUCAAAAUCUAUAUACAUAUAUAAAAAUUAUCUUAUAUAUAUAACAGAAUUUUUUAUCUAGAUCCAACUUUUAUUUAUUUAUUUAUGGAUUAAUUACUUAUAAUCAUACCUUAAGUUUCUAUUAUUACUUAAAAUCUCAUUCAAUCAAACUAAUUACAAAAAUCCAUUUUUACUCAAAAUAGUUGCCUCUUUUCUGAUACAUCACCCACAACCCCUUAUUGUGCCAUAAAUCAAGCUCCAAAAUUAGGAAAUAUAUCCCACAAUUUUCUCAACUUACCCAUUUUAAAUUUCCAUCGUGUUCUCAUCUUCAUCUUCUACUUCAAUAUUCAAGUUACAAUUUUCAUUAAUUUUCUUUUGAAUUUUUACCAUAUUCUCAUCUACAAAAUUAAACAUAGAAACUCCAUCUUUUUACCAUUAACUUUCUUUUUUAGGAAAACAAAACUAAUGAUGAUUUAGGAAAAUCAUGUGUUGUCAUUACUGGUGAAAUGGUAGCACCAAUACUCCAUGAAUAACGUCAAUAAGUCCAUCAGUGCAACGCGCAAGAUAGCACGUUAUGUAUCGUUAUGGCAUCAAAGAUAUGAAACUACGGGACAUUCUAGGAGCCCAUGGUUUUAGCAUCAAAGAUACAUUACGUAGUAAUAAGAAACUAUGGGACAUGCUAGGAGCCCAUCGUUUUGGCAUCAAAGAUAACGUAAUGUAUUGUUUUGUUAGAAAAAGUUUUUUUAUCAAAGGUAUGAAUUAUACGUGUUCUUGUUAACGUAAUGUAUCAUAUUAUGAAUCUGAUACAUAAGUAUAAUGCACUGAGACACUGCAUGCUUUCCAAUAUAUACUGAAAUUUACAUGUAAUUUAGGUUCUUUUUUAACAUCUGAUACAUUCACUUUACUGAGUUUAAUACAUAGUCUAAGGUUUCUAAUACAUAAGACAUUGCAGUUUUUGGUGCCCUUUUUGGUUGAUUUAAGACAUUGCAGUUUUUCUGAUACAUAAGACAUUGCAGUUUUUUUCUGAUACAUAAGACAUUGCAGUAUUUUCUGAUACAUAGUCUAAGGUUUCUGACCUUUUUUGUUGAUUUAAUUUUGUAUUUUUGUGCAGCAUUUUGAUUUUAGAGCAUGUGGGAGAAUUAUGAUUGGAGAAUGUUAAUUAUGGCGAUUCAAAUUUUAAUUAUGAAGUUGUUACUAAUUUUUAGGGAUUCAAGAGAUAUCUCUCAAUCAAAAUCCCAUUAAUUGCUCUAUCAUUUAAUUUCAUACCAUUAUUUUCCUUUUUUAUAGUAAAUUAGUUUGGUAGUUAUGUAUAUCUGUUGGUUAUGUAUCUGGACCAAACUUAUAUAUCAUAUCCGAGAUAUUAAGGAAUUAAUGUAAAAGUUGGGAGAGAGGGUAAUUAGGUAGCAAAGUG